Molecule: ribosomal RNA, 393 nt
Filed under: uncultured bacterium
Lineage: Bacteria
Description: partial 16S ribosomal RNA
Rfam family: Bacterial small subunit ribosomal RNA
Source: RNAcentral
AUACGGAGGAUCCGAGCGUUAUCCGGAUUUAUUGGGUUUAAAGGGUGCGUAGGCGGCCUUUUAAGUCAGCGGUGAAAGUCUGUGGCUCAACCAUAGAAUUGCCGUUGAAACUGGGAGGCUUGAGUAUGUUUGAGGCAGGCGGAAUGCGUGGUGUAGCGGUGAAAUGCUUAGAUAUUAAGCAGAACCCCGAUUGCGAAGGCAGCCGGCCAAGCCAUGACUGACGCUGAUGCACGAAAGCGUGGGGAUCAAACAGGAUUAGAUACCCCGGUAGUCCACGCAGUAAACGAUGAUCACUAGCUGUUUGCGAUACAGUGUAAGCGGCACAGCGAAAGCGUUAAGUGAUCCACCUGGGGAGUACGCCGGCAACGGUGAAACUCAAAUGAAUUGACGGGG